RNAcentral lists this ribosomal RNA (541 nucleotides) under uncultured bacterium. RNAcentral describes it as "bacterial SSU rRNA". It matches the Rfam family "Bacterial small subunit ribosomal RNA", at positions 355 to 913 of the family's 1533-position model. The record is from RNAcentral.
UGGGGAAUCUUGGACAAUGGGGGCAACCCUGAUCCAGCCAUGCCGCGUGAGUGAUGAAGGCCUUAGGGUCGUAAAGCUCUUUCGCCUGUGAAGAUAAAUGACGGUAGCAGGUAAAGAAACCCCGGCUAACUCCGUGCCAGCAGCCGCGGUAAUACGGAGGGGGUUAGCGUUGUUCGGAAUUACUGGGCGUAAAGCGCGCGUAGGCGGACUGAUCAGUCAGGGGUGAAAUCCCGGGGCUCAACCCCGGAACUGCCUCCAAAACUAUUGGUCUAGAGUUCGAGAGAGGUGAGUGGAAUUCCAAGUGUAGAGGUGAAAUUCGUAGAUAUUUGGAGGAACACCAGUGGCGAAGGCGGCUCACUGGCUCGAUACUGACGCUGAGGUGCGAAAGUGUGGGGAGCAAACAGGAUUAGAUACCCUGGUAGUCCACACCGUAAACGAUGAAUGCCAGUCGUCGGGUAGCAUGCUAUUCGGUGACACACCUAACGGAUUAAGCAUUCCGCCUGGGAGUACGGUCGCAAGAUUAAAAGCUCAAAUGAAUUGA